ACAAGCACAACUUCGCUCCAGAUUCCAUCACCAAACCUAAAUAUAAAUAGCAGUUUAACAAGUCUCCAACAGCUAACCACCGAUGAUAAUCCCGCUAACCACCAAAGAUAGCAGAAUGGCAGUUUAACAAGUCUCCGAAGGCUAAAAGAAAGAGGAACACCUAACGAUCGUCCUAGAUCCACCAACACAACCUAACAGGUAAGUAGUUGACCAUAUUACAAGUUCCAGCCUAAGUGCCUCAUGCCCCCCACCCCAGUGUUGCCCUACACGUCAAGAUGGAUCUCGGAGCUCUCCGGCAGCAUGGUCUGCGGCCUCUCAGUCAUCGCAGAGGGAGCCGUUCCCUAUGGUGCAGUUGUAUCAGACACCAUAAGCUCCAACAGCGUGGUGUUUGCCCUCUGCACUAGUGCAGAACCGGGCAAUAGCACCGGUUCGUAAGGCCCUUUAGUGCCGGUUCCAUAACCGGCACUAAAGUGUGGGCACUAAAGGCCCCCCCCCCUUUAGUACCGGUUCAGCACGAACCGGUGCUAAAGGGAAACCACGUGGCACGAGCCAGCUCCUGGGGCCUGGAGUCCUUUAGUACCGGUUGGUAAGACCAACCGGUACUAUAAGGUUUGGGGGGUUUUAGUUUUAUGAUUUCUUUUUCAUUUAAUUUUGUGUUUCCAUUUUAAUUCUUUUUCGUUUGCUGGUAUUUUACGAUACUACACAUUGUACACGUUAUGCAUAUAUAUAUAUAUAUAUAUAAAUAGAAUUUCUAGUAGAACCAAUCAUGCAUAUAUAUAUCAUCAAUGUCUCACAAACCAUCAUAUUAAUUAAUUCACACAUACACACAUGUAUAGCUAUAUACAAUUUCUUCUACAUAUGCAUGUUGCCUUCGGAGCCAGUGGCAUUAUAGCCUAAUUGGUGCCUUCGGAGCACGAUGACAAUUGGAAGUGGUUUUCAUUGGGGCGGUAGCGGGUAAUAGUAUUCUCCCUUCGGAUUUAUGACCUGGUCGAGCAAAAAUCCCGCUAUUUCCACUUGAAGUGCUUCUACGCGCUCCGUUUCUAGGAGCUUCGCCCGCACCUCUCUGAACUGUUAAGAAGGAGAUCAAUAUGCAUGUGUAUUAGUUGUGUGACUAGAUAUCGAUAAUGGUGUAAAAAUUGUGAAUAGUGUUUUGACAAGCUUACCCAUUCCUGUCUUUGAGAUCUGCUCCUUUCGGACGCCAUCAUGCGAAUGUUCUCGCAAACGCAGAAUGCACACAGAUCAGUCCCCUGCGCCUGCUUCAGGGCCUUUACGAGAAUGAAAUUUGAUCAGAUAAUAAUUAAUCAAGCAUGAUAAUUAAAGAGAUGGCAGCUAGCUAGCUAGCUAGUACUACUUAAUUACUUACCUUGGGUCUUCCCCAUUUAAGCUUUUCUUUCCAUUCGCCGUCCGUGACCCUGAUGAACCUUGCCCAAGCCCUGCCCGCCGAAAAAGAAAAUGAAUAAAGGGGUUAUUAAGUAGUUCAUAUCAUGAAAUGACGAACUAAAUAGGCCGAGAUAUAUAGUUAAUAAUGAUUGAAAUUACCUGUUGACUAUCCCAAACAAGAUGUUAUAGUCAAUUUUUUCUUUGAGUAGUGAGUCCAGUAUUUCAACUGUUCCGGCGUCAACUUUAAUGAUACACAAGACCCAGUGAUAUCUGCAUGCACACACGUUUGCAUGUCUUAAUUAAGCGGGCAUAUGUAAGCAAAAACAUGUAGCUAGCUAGUAGGCAAAAACAGAGAAUUUGUAGUACAAGACAGUGUGACUCACUGGAAGUUGUAAGGAAGUAGUAUAUCUUCAUUGUAUUUGAGGCGCUUCAAGAACUCUAGCAUGCUGUCCUCUACGGCCUUUUGAUGACGUUCAUCUAUUUUCCAUGUGUAUUCAUUAACGGUGUUUGGGUCAAUGAACCCAAUGCCAUAGCGUCCACCUUUUCUCAUUUCAUACAUCUUCAUCCUGCAUAUAAUGGAGGAUAAUUACAGGUAAUGAUAAGGAUCACUACAGCUAGCUUGAGACUUAAAUUACAGAAAGAAAUCACUUACAGACAAUAGCAACUGACGAUAGAUUUGUCGAGUGCGUCUUGAUUGUAUAACUGAAACAGUUCAGAAUACUCAACGGACACAGCUUUCUCAUGGUAGUAAUGAUCCUCCUUGACAUUCACCAUGAGGGACAAUCGAUCGGAAAUCUUGGUAAUGUUCAUGUACCAUUGAUGCAAUUCAUACAUUCUCGUUGGGAGGUUCUUGACCUUGUCUGGCUCGACCAAAGGUUGGCCCCGGACAUAUUUUCGUUUUAUUUCAUCCUCUCUAAGCACAGGCAUGGGCUCGAUCUCGAGGAGUUGUCCAACAGUGAUUUUGAGAACUUCAGCCUGCAUUAUAUGCUCCUCCGUUACUACCACAUUGCCCACCUCAGGAACGUAAACUGUUUGCCCACAAUAAUAUUGGGCACGCGUACUGUCACGUGUUGUUGGCACAACAAGCGAGGGGAUCGAUUGCGCCGCCUGUUCUCCCAGCUAGGGAAUGGUUUUCCCGCAUUUUUUGACAGCUGCUUCUUGUUUGCUCGAUCCCGAGCUCGCCUCCUUACGUACACGUGCUCGAUUUAACUUCCUGAUGUGGCGCUCAUAGUCUGUGUCAACAGGCUCGGGAGCUGGUGGUUGAGCCAUACGAAUGAAGUGGUCAAUCAUUUCCUCAGGCACUUUCUCCCUUGGCGGUGUUGGCAGUUUCGGUGCAAAAUAGGCUUCCACCUCGGACUUGGAUAUGGCUGCGAUUUCCUCCUCGGACCUGUCAUAAGCCCUCUGAGGAAGAGGCGUGAGGCUUGGACCUUAUUUAUAUCGCUUGCCUCCGCCUGUACUUCCUGUACUACCUCAACUCGUACCGCUACGCACCAUAGCUGCGGGGUGUCUCUUCUGUGAUUACUGAGGCGGCGGAGACGGCUGACAGGGCUGAGUUGGACGAGGAGGAGUGGCCGCCUGAAGCUGUGCCGGACUUGGAGGAGGAGUGGCCUGAGCUUGUGCCGGACUUGGAGGAGGAGUGGAUGUCUGACGCUGUGGCGGACUUGGAGGAGGAGGAGUGGCCUGACACUUUGCCGGACUUGGAGGAGGAGUGGCCUGACACUUUGCCGGACUUGGUGGACUUGCAGGAGCGGGAGACUGCUGACUCGGUGGCGGACUUCGACGAGGAGUCGGCUGAUGCGGUGUCGGUGGCCUUCGAAUGAUGAUGCAAUCCUUUUUCCAUAGGAUGAUAUGAUGUUUGGCGUCUCCGAGAAAGCGCUCAUCGUCACCUCCAGGAUAGUCAAGCUCUAGCUCUGAAUAUGGGUCCACCACCUCAUCAACCAAGACACGAGCAUAGCCCGCUGGAAUUGGGUUGCAAUGGAAGGUUGCCUCGGGGGGAUUUGUAAACGCAACGACGUCCGCCACCUUCAUGGAUAUGUUCUUCAUUUUGACGUGUAGCUCGCAGCUAGUGUUCUCCGUGAUGUCAUCCACGGGGUAUCUACCCAGCAUUGCAUCGUCCGGGGCGGAACCCACGCUGCUUCUCGACAUGGAUGGGGCGGUGCUAUCCAAUGCUGGAUCAUUCGCUAGCUGCUGCAGCUACUGAGACCCCCUUUGCUGGGUAAGUGAGUCGAUCUGCUCCUGCUGCCGCUGGAAUUUGACUAUCAAUUCCGCUUGACUUGCUUCUAGGCCUUGAAGGCGUUCAUAGUCCCGCUUCCUCUGCUCCUCCUCCAUCUUCCUCUUCUUCUCCUCCGCAAUCUUCUUUCUCGCACGGGUUCUGUAGUCGGUGUUCCAGUCUGAGAACCCCUCAUACCACGGAAUAGCGCCCUUGCCUCGUGUUCUUCCCGGGUGUUCAAGAUUUCCCAGGGCACGCGUAAGCUCGUUGUUCUCUCUGUUGGGCUGGAACACCCCCGAUCGUGCCUCUUCUAUUGCAACAAGUAUCGCAUCGUCGGCUCCCUUCAGACUUGCCCUCAUCGAAACAUUGCCUGUCUUCGGGUCCAACUCCCCCCCAUGCGCAUAGACCCAAGUCCUGACCCUGGGGGGCCAGCUCUUAGUAACCGGAGUGGCACCUGCAUCCUCCACCUCUUUCUCAGACUUAUCCCACUUAGGCAUUGCCACCGCAUAGCCACCUGGCCCCAGCUUAUGGAACUUAUCCUUUUUUUUGGCAUUCUUCUUGUUUAUUCUCGACCGUUCCUUAGCUAAUUCCGAAUCCUUGAAUUUCACGAAAUCGUCCCAAUGAGCACGUUGGUUCUCUAGUGUUCCCUCGAAUACUGGAGUCUUCCUUCCUCCCUUGACGUACUUGUCCCAUUCACGAUUCUUGUGGUUCUUGAAUGCAACCGCCAUCUUCCUAAGAGCAGUGUCCUUGACUUUCUGCACAUCUGCUUCUGUGAAAUGAUCUGGUAGGGUGAAAUGUUCCAUGAGAGUAUCCCAAAGCAGAUCUUUUUGAUUCUUGUUGACAAAAGUAACAUCUGAACGUGGAGCAGCGUCCUCUUUGCCUUUUUGUCUUUUGUCUUUUGCUGGCUCUCUCCAUUCUUGAAGGGAGAUCGGGAGUUGGUCCUUCACAAGAACUCCGCACUGACGAAUGAACUUGUCCGCAGUCUUCUUAGGCGCUAAUGAUUCGCCAUUAGGUCUGACUGCCUCGAUAUUGUACUUUACGCCCUCCUUCAACUUUUUGUUCGGGCCUCGUUUCGUCCUUUUGCCUGAAGAUUUGCUCGAUCCGGAUGGCUGAAAGAACAAAGAUCGAUUCGUUAAUAUAUCUUCAAGUCAUUUAAAACAUGUGAUGAUCACCAGAUACCUGCUUAUAUAAAUAUAUAUACCUCGCCGGUCUUUGUUGUUUUAGGAUCAACAUGUUCUUCGUCAUCGUCAUAAUCGUAGUUCAUGACUUCAUCAAUUUGGUCGUCGCGAUCGAAUAUCAUAUCACCCUCUCCGGUGUUGUUUAGAAAUUCGGAGCCGUCAUAAUCUUCUUCGUUCUGAUCAUCAUUUGGCCCGCGUAUCAUAUCGAACAUGGUCUGUUCUCCCUCUCUGUCGGUAUUGUCUGCCAUAGCUUUUAUUUAACUAAUUCAAAAGAAAUAUAAAACAAUUUAGUAUUCAAAUUACAUCGUCUCGAAUAAUAGAUAUAAUCUCGAAUACUUCGUCUAGAAUAAUAGAUAUAAUCUCGAAUACAUCGUCUCGAAUAAUAUAUAAUAUUGAAUAGUACAUCACUGGCUAGCUAAUUAAAGAUCGAAUACUACAGAAGAAUCUAGGACACUCGCGGUUCCUACGGCGCGGGCGGUGGACACCCAAAGAGAAGGAACCCUCACAGGAUCAUAGCUGAAGUGAGAUCCCCAAAGAUACUGCCAGGUAUUGGAGAACCUGCCGCCCUCUAACGCAACCAUGUAGCGAUGGACGUGCUCGUCCUCCUCCCUGACACGGCGACGUACCACCUCCGGCGGGGCCGGGUCCCUCCGCACAAAAACUGGCCCACACGAACGCCACCAAACGAGAUCAGGGUCGACGACGGGACCCGGGGCCGGGUUCCUCAUCAAGCGGCGCGCCCCUCCAGGCAGCACCUCCUAGUGCCAGCCCGGCGAAGCCCAGUCCCGGACAUGGGUCGGCUGGACGUCGUCGCGGACGGGUCGACGGCGAGGAUGCGGGCCGGGCAUCGUCGAGAACAAAUACUAGCUAUAUGCCCGCAAAAAGUAACAUUUUUUUAAUGAUUGAAUUUUGAUAACUAAAAUUUCUAACAUUUCUAUAUAACACUAAUUAUGCUAAUCUAAACAAUCUAAAUAACACUAAAAUUUCUAACAUUUCUAACAUUUCUAUAUAACACUAAUUUCUAACAUUUCUAUAUAACACUAAUUUCUAACUGAUUAAACACUAAUUAUAUCCAUCUAACAUGCAUUCAUACAUAUAUAAUAGUGAAAAAAUAAUAAUCUAAAUAAUCUAAACUAAUUAAACAUACAAAAUACGUGUGUGUACUAAUUAAACACUAAUUAUCUAACCUAAUUAAACAUACAAAAUAAUAAUCUAAACUAAUUAAAGACUAAUUAUCUAAAGUAAUUAAACAUGCUUGUGUGUGUGUACGGGCUCUGGGAGGGCUCACAGCGGGCGACGGCGACGGCGAGGCGACGGCGAGGCNNNNNNNNNNNNNNNNNNNNNNNNNNNNNNNNNNNNNNNNNNNNNNNNNNNNNNNNNNNNNNNNNNNNNNNNNNNNNNNNNNNNNNNNNNNNNNNNNNNNNNNNNNNNNNNNNNNNNNNNNNNNNNNNNNNNNNNNNNNNNNNNNNNNNNNNNNNNNNNNNNNNNNNNNNNNNNNNNNNNNNNNNNNNNNNNNNNNNNNNNNNNNNNNNNNNNNNNNNNNNNNNNNNNNNNNNNNNNNNNNNNNNNNNNNNNNNNNNNNNNNNNNNNNNNNNNNNNNNNNNNNNNNNNNNNNNNNNNNNNNNNNNNNNNNNNNNNNNNNNNNNNNNNNNNGGGCGGCAACGGAGACGAGGGCGGCGACGGGGACGGGGGCGGCGACGGAGACGAGCGGUGACGGAGACGAUCGAGGGCGGCGGCGACGGCGACGGAGACGGAAACAAAGGAACGAACAGAGAGGGAAACUGAAAUUUUCGUAGCCGUUGUAUAUAUAGAAGGCACCUUUAGUACCGGUUGGAACCACCAACCGGUAUUAAAGGCCUGUUUUGGCCAGGCCAAGCGGCGGGAAGCGACCCCCUUUUGUACUGGAUGGUGGCACAAACCGGUACUAAAGGCCCCCCCUUUAGUACCGGUUUGUGCCACGACCCGGUACUAAAGGGGGUGCGCUGGCGCAGGUGCGGUGCGGCAAGUUUAGUCCCACCUCGCUAGCCGAGGGGCGACCGCACUGGUUUAUAAACCCCCAUGCGGUCGCUCUCUCGAGCUCCUCUCCAAAGCAGGCUUACUGGGCCUACGUGUUCUUUGCAGCCCUGUGGGCCCACUUGGCCUUUGCGGGCCUGCAUCCUGGCCCAACGACAGGUUGGGUUUCUAGUCGUAUGCAGGCCGCUCUGGCCUAGUAGGCGGGCUUAUUUUUAUUUUAUUUUUUGCUUUAUUUAUUUUUGUGUUGUUUUUUUGUGUAUUUAGAGUUUCUUUCUGAACAUUUUUGUUUUAGGUACAAAAAAUUACAAACUUUCUGUUAGGGCUUUUUUUAUUAUUUUUUUGCUUUAUUUAUUUUUGUGUUGUUUUUUGUGUACUUAGAGUUUCUUUGUGAACAUUUUUGUUUUAGGUACAAAAAAUUACAAACUUUCUGUUAGUGCCCGUAGUUUUCAAAUUUGAAUAGUUUAAAUUUUGAAUUAUUUGAAAUUAGUGUGAAUCACUAGUUUGUGAAUAACUUAACUUUAAAAAUCAGUAAAGGCAUGAAAGAAUUUGUUUGCACAUAAAAUUUCUUCGCAUUUCAAAUGCCAAAACACAUAACUACCCUAACUAUUACAGAGAUUCCCCUCUCGGUGCGAAACACAGAAGAAAGUGAUGAUAGCUAGUGAAGCCAAUCACAUCCCAGAUCUUUGGGUGUGAAACUUUUUCUUCGCGUGUGUCCCUUUGCGCCGUAACCAUGGAAAAUCUUCAUCAUUUAACGGGAUGCUCGGGUCAAUAUUCACUGUGAAUGGAGCAAUUUCAUCAAACUUUUCAUAAUCUUCUGACUUGUCUGUCUUGUCAUCCACUCCCACGAUGUUUCUCUUCCCAGAAAGAACUAUGUGCCGCUUUGGCUUAUCGUAUGAUGCAUUCGCUUCCUUGUCUUUUCUUUUUCUUGGCUUGGUAGACAUGUCCUUCACAUAGAAAACCUGUGCCACAUCAUUGGCUAGGACGAAUGGUUCUUCUGCAUACGCAAGAUUGUUGAGAUCCACUGUUGUCAUUCCGUACUGCGGGUCUUCCGUUACCCCGCCUCGUGUCAUAUUGACCCAUUUGCACCGAAACAAAGGAACCUUUAAACCACGUCGAUAGUCAAGUUCCCAUAUGUCCUGUAUAUAACCAUAAUAUGUUUCCUUUCCUGUCUUGGUUUCUGUAUCAAAGCGGACACCACUGUUUUGGUUGGUGCUCUUCUUAUCUUGGGCGAUCGUGUAAAAUGUAUUACCAUUUAUCUUGUACCCUUUGAAAGUCAUUAUAUUCGAAGAUGGUAACUGGGACAGCAAAUACAGGUCAUCUUCAAUAGAGGUGUCAUGCAUGGUACGUGUCUGCAACUAGCUGGCGAAACUCCUGGUUUGUUCACGUGUAAUCCAGUCAUCAGACCGCUCCGAGUGUUUGGAGCGUAGCAAAUUCUUGUGUUCAUCCAUAUACGGAGCCACCAAGGCGGAAUUCUGUAGAACUGUGUAGUGUGCUUCAGUGAGAGAAUGUCCGUCCAUACAUAUUAUUUGUUCCCCUCCUAGCGUGCCUUUUCCAUCCAGUCUGCCCUUAUGCCGCGAUUCUGGAACACCAAUCGGCUUAAGGUCAGGAAUAAAGUCAAUACAAAACUCAAUGACCUCCUCAUUUUGAUGGCCCUUGGAGAUGCUUCCUUCUGGCCUAGCACGGUUAUGAACAUAUUUCUUUAAGACUCCCAUGAACCUCUCAAAGGGGAACAUAUUGUGUAGAAAUACAGGACCCAAAACGUUAAUCUCUUGGCACAGGUGAACUAGGACGUGUGUCAUGAUGUUGAAGAAGGAUGGUGGGAACACCAACUCGAAACUGACAAGACAUUGCACCAAAUCAUUCUGUAACCUUGGUAUGAUUUCUGGAUCGAUUACCUUCUGAGAGAUUGCAUUGAGAAAUGCACAUAGCUUCACAAUGGCUAAUCAAACGUUUUUCGGUAGAAGCCACCUCAAUGCAACCGGAAGCAGUUGCGUCAUAAUCACGUGGCAGUCAUGAGACUUUAGGUUCUGGAACUUUUUCUCUGCCAUGUUUAUUAUUCCCUUUAUAUUCGACGAGAAGCCAGACGGUACCUUAAUACUGAGCAGGCAUUCAAAGAAGAUUUCCUUCUCUUCUUUGGUAAGAGCGUAGCUUGCAUGACCCUGAUGUAUGCCGUCUUCUCCGUGCAUACGUUGCUGGUCCUCCCGUGCCUCAGGUGUAUAUUUUGUCUUCCCAUACACGCCCAACAAGCCAAGCAGGGUCACGCAAAGAUUCUUCGUCACGUGCAUCACGUCGAUUGCGGAGCGGACCUCUAGGUCUUUCCAAUAUGGCAGGUCCCAAAAUAUAGAUUUCUUCUUCCACAUGGGUGCGCGUCCGUUAGCGUCCUUUGGAACGGAUUGUCCUCCAGGACCCUUUCCAAAUAUCACCUUCAAAUCCUUGACCAUAUCAUGUACAUCAGCACCAGUACGGUGGCGAGGCUUCGUCCGGUGAUCCGCCUCACCUUUGAAAUGCUUGCCUUUCUUUCUUACGGGAUGCCUGCUCGGAAGAAAUCGACGAUGUCCCAGGUACACAUUCUUCUUACAACUAUUCAAAUAUAUACUGCCGGUAUCAUCCAGACAAUGCGUGCAUCCGUGGUAUCCCUUGUUUGUCUGUCCUGAAAGGUUACUGAGAGCAGGCCAAUCAUUGAUGGUCACGAACAGCAAUGCCUUUAGGUCAAAUUCUUCCUGUUUGUGCUCAUCCCAUGUACGUACACCUGUUCCAUUCCACAGUUGUAAGAGUUCUUCAACUAAUGGCCUUAGAUAUACAUCAAUGUCGUUGUCGGGUUGUUUAGGGCCUUGGAUGAGCACUGGCAUCAUAAUGAACUUCCGCUUCAUGCACAACCAAGGAGGAAGGUUAUACAAACAUAGAGUCACAGGCCAGGUGCUAUGGUUGCUGCUCUGCUCCCGAAAAGGAUUAAUGCCAUCUGCGCUUAGACCAAACCAUACGCUCCUUGCGUCAUCUGCAAACUCCUUCCCGUACUUUCUUUCGAUUUUUCUCCACUGCGACCCGUCAGUGGGUACUCUCAACUUUCCGUCUUUCUUAUGGUCUUCUCUGUGCCAUCGCAUCGCCUUGGCAUGCUCUUUGUUUUGGAACAAACGUUUCAACCGUGGUAUUAUAGGAGAAUACCACAUCACCUUGGCAGGAAUCUUCUUCCUGGGGCGCUCGCCCUCGACAUCACCAUGCUCAUCGCGGCUGAUCUUAUAGCGCAAUGCACCACAUACCGGGCAAGCGUUCAAAUCCUCGUACUCACCACGGUAGAGGAUGCAAUCAUUAGGGCAUGCAUGUAUCUUCUGCACCUCUAACCCUAGAGGGCAGACAGCCUUCUUUGCUUCGUACGUACUCUCGGGCAAUUCGUUGUCCUUUGGAAGCAUAUCCUUUAUCAUUACCAACAACUUUCCAAAUCCCUUGUCAGAUACACCAUUCUCUGCCUUUCAUUGCAGCAAUUCCAGUGUGGUGCCCAACUUUUUCUUGUCACCUACGCAAUUCGGGUACAACAAUUUUUGUGAUCCUCUAACAUGCGCUGCAACUUCUUCUUCUCCAAAUCACUUGCGCAGUUUCUCUUUGCAUCGGCAAUGGCCCGACCUAGAUCAUCAACGGGCUCAUCUGAUGCCUCUCUUCAGCUUCUUCCCGCAUUGUCGGCUCAGCUUCUUCCCGCAUUACCGGCUCAGCUUCUUCCCCCAUUGUUGUAUCAUCGUAUUCAGGGAACCCAUGGCCAGGAUAGCUGUCGUCGUCCUCUUCUUCUUCAUUGUCUUCCAUCAUAACCCCUCUUUCUUCGUGCUUGGUCCAAACAUUAUAGUGGGGCAUGAAACCGGACUCAAACAGGUGGACGUGAAUGGUUCUUGACGUAGAGUAAUUGCGACCAUUCUUACAGGCAGCACAUGGACAAGGCAUAAAACCAUCCGCCCGCUUGUUUGCCUCAGCCGCAAGCAGAAAAGUAUGCACGCCCUCAACGAACUGGGGAGAGCAUCGGUCAUCAUAUAUCCAUUGUCGGCUCAUCUUCAUUACACAACACCGAAUAGACCAAAUUAAUACAAGUUCAUACAUAAAGUUCAUACAACACUUAAAUGCAACAAACAAAUAACUCUCUAGCUAAAGCAUUUAAAUGCAACAACAAAUGCGAUCAAGAUCGCAACUAAGGUAACAAUUGAUCCAACAGCAUAAUGAUACCAAGCCUCACUAUCGAUGGCAUAUUUUCUAAUCUUUCUAAUCUUCAAGCGCAUUUUCUCCUUCUUGAUCUUGUGAUCAUCGACGACAUCGGCAACAUGCAACUCCAAUUUCAUCUUUUCCCCCUCAAUUCUUUUCAAUUUUUCUUUCAAGUACUCGUUUUCUCUUUCAACUAAAUUUAACCUCUCGACAAUAGGGUCGGUUGGAAUUUCCGGUUCACAUACCUCCUAGACAAAAAUAUCUAUGUCAACUUGAUGGGCAUAAUUUGUCAUAAACACGAAAUGCAACAAAUAGUUUUAAAAGAGAAUAUACCACAGCCGAAUCAUAACAAGGACGAGGGCCAACGGGGACGGAUAUCAAAACCAUGGCACUAUGUAUAACAAAGAACGUACGGGUAAGAUAAUUAUUAUACGAGUAACUAUAUAUCCAAAUCACACAAACAUCAAUUUUUUAUAUAAAAUUUCAUGAACAAGAGGCUCACCACAAGGUGGUGCCGGCAACGGGACGAUGCGAGCGAUCAACGGUGGUUACGACGGAGAUUUAGAAGGCACUAAGUAAACCACACCUACAUAUGCAAACUAAGUGUUAUUUUAACCUCAAAUUGCAUAUAAAUCAAAUACUAGCACAUAUAUAUAUUUCCUUCCAGAUUACUAAACUCACAAAUUAAUAACUAUAUAAAGCAUUGCAAGAGCUAAUCUAGCAAUGAGAGAUGAAAGGACAAAGUUGCUAACCUUUGUGAUCAUUUGAAUGGAUGGGGGCCUUCAAAUCUUGAAAAAAUUUAGGCAAAAUGUGUGAUGAGCUCGAGAGGAAGAGGGGAAGAACAGAGAGGAGAGGGGAAAGGGGAAGAACAGAGCGAGCUCGGAUGGACGAAGGGUUUAUGUAGGACGACCUUUAGUACCGGUUCGUGCCAAGAACCGGUACUAAAGGUGCUGGAGGGGGCCCAGACUGACAACAUCCUGCCACCACUCUCAUUAGUACCGGUUCGUGGCUAACCUUUAGCACCGGUUCGUGCCACGAACCGGUACUAAUGAGAGCGGCCCGGCUAGCCGUUGGAACCGGCACUAAUGUAUACAUUUGUGCCGGCUCAAAUACAAACCGGCACUAAUGUGCUUCACGUUUGACCCUUUUUCUACUAGUGUGCGCAGUCGUCACAGAGAGAGCCGUUCUCUGUGGCGUCGUUGUACCAGGCACCAGAAGCUCCUCGUCUGUCUCCUUCUGCAUCCCUGCCGAAUGUAUUAUAAAGGAACACACAUAGCAGAUUUAUCUCAGCAGGCGGCGUCCCUGCCGAAUGUAUUAUAAAGGAACACACAUAGCAGAUUUAUCUCAGCAGGCGGCGACUUAAUAAGCUUCUCAAAACAAGCACCGGUUCUGAGCUUCCACAAUGCCCACAGCACAAACCUCCUACUCCAACUACAUGCAGAUGGGGAUAGCUAUCAUCCAAAAUAUAAGUUUUUGCUUCAUU
This 12442-nucleotide long non-coding RNA is filed under the name Triticum aestivum (bread wheat). RNAcentral describes it as "long non-coding RNA (TAES_LNC015907)". Lineage: Eukaryota; Viridiplantae; Streptophyta; Magnoliopsida; Poales; Poaceae. The record is from RNAcentral.